UUUCCUGUCAUCCCCCAAGUUCAUGACAACAUCUCGAUCUCCCACAUGAACAUUGAAGUUCAUGACAACAUCUUGAUCUCCCAGAUGAACUUCAUUGAAGUUCGUGACAUAAUCAUGACCUCCCACAUGAACUUCAUUGAAGUUCGUGACAACAUCUUGAUCUCCCACAUGAACUUCAUUGACCUUCUCACCAUGCUUGAUGAUACGGACAUCAAGUAGUAAUGAAAAAUCUAUCUGAAGAAAAGCUUCACUCAUCAGCAUUUUACGAUGAAGGUAAAAAUUUAAACAAAAAAAGAAAAAUCAGCAGAUGCAGCUUGGCCUUGAUUUUGCUAGAUUAUAAGUUGAAAAAAGUAUGAAACCAUGAAAAACAAAAUACUAUUGCACCACAACUGUCACAACUAUACCAUACACAAGAAUGCAACCUCAAACACAUAGGCAGAGCAUCCGUUUUGACAUGUAAAAUCCGACAUCAGCAAUGUAAUUUGAUUACCAAACAGUAACAAUAUCACAAAAACAAAGCGGAGUCCUCAACUGAAUAUUUCUCCUUGGCGGUAAAGCAACAAACAAACAAAUAAAUAUGAUAUCCAUGCUUCUGUCCUUCUGAUUUUAUUUUAGAGACGCCUUUUUAUGGUUUAGACUUAUUUUCAUCAGUUUUCAAUGAUACUUCAUAAUGUCAAUCUUUAAUCAAAGAAAAAUAGCUGGCUGAGCACUUCAGCCAUAUUUAACAAUAUUAACAUUUUUUCACUACUUAAUAUAUAUGCAGUGGAACCUUAUCCCAAAGUACUAAAAUGGAGAGUUAUUGAAGAUUCAUGACGUAGAUAAAUUUACCCGUAAAGAGCCAUCUU
RNAcentral lists this long non-coding RNA (845 nucleotides) under Citrus maxima (pomelo). RNAcentral's name for it is "long non-coding RNA (CMAX_LNC003207)". The record is from RNAcentral. Lineage: Eukaryota; Viridiplantae; Streptophyta; Magnoliopsida; Sapindales; Rutaceae.